RNAcentral lists this ribosomal RNA (495 nucleotides) under uncultured bacterium. RNAcentral describes it as "partial 16S ribosomal RNA". It matches the Rfam family "Bacterial small subunit ribosomal RNA", at positions 28 to 507 of the family's 1533-position model. The record is from RNAcentral.
GACGAACGCUGGCGGCGUGCCUAAUACAUGCAAGUAGAACGCUGAAGGAGGAGCUUGCUUCUCUGGAUGAGUUGCGAACGGGUGAGUAACGCGUAGGUAACCUGCCUGGUAGCGGGGGAUAACUAUUGGAAACGAUAGCUAAUACCGCAUAAUAGCAGUUGUUGCAUGACAACUGUUUGAAAGGUGCAAUUGCACCACUACCAGAUGGACCUGCGUUGUAUUAGCUAGUUGGUGGGGUAACGGCUCUCCAAGGCGACGAUACAUAGCCGACCUGAGAGGGGGAGCGGCCACACUGGGACUGAGACACGGCCCAGACUCCUACGGGAGGCAGCAGUAGGGAAUCUUCGGCAAUGGACGGAAGUCUGACCGAGCAACGCCGCGUGAGUGAAGAAGGUUUUCGGAUCGUAAAGCUCUGUUGUAAGAGAAGAACGAGUGUGAGAGUGGAAAGUUCACACUGUGACGGUAUCUUACCAGAAAGGGACGGCUAACUACGUG